Molecule: long non-coding RNA, 325 nt
Filed under: Homo sapiens (human)
Lineage: Eukaryota; Metazoa; Chordata; Mammalia; Primates; Hominidae
Description: HSALNT0226562
Source: RNAcentral
GUCUUUUCGGGGUCGAGUCCGAGGGGGAAGAGGUUUGUUAAUACGUUCGCCAUGUGCUACGAUCUUGGGACGAACUGAGCCACGAGCGUGGCUUUGAGGGCCGUCCGAACGCUGCAGGCCGGCCAGGUCCCUGGGCGUCCAGGCCUGGCCUACGCACCACUUUGUCCCUUAGCGUUUAAAGGUUUCUUCCCGAAUCUCAGGCCCUCAGCUACCUGCAGGUUUCGUCGCGAGCCGGCUGCAAGUUUUGAACCUAAGUAAACCUCAAUCCGGAGGGCCUAGCGGUAAGGUGGGCGCUGUGUCUAUUGAAGUGCUUAGCAAUAAAGAA